Molecule: ribosomal RNA, 446 nt
Filed under: uncultured bacterium
Lineage: Bacteria
Description: bacterial SSU rRNA
Rfam family: Bacterial small subunit ribosomal RNA
Source: RNAcentral
GGUAUGGGAUGAGCUUGCGUCCGAUUAGCUAGUUGGCGGGGCAACGGCCCACCAAGGCGACGAUCGGUAGCCGGCCUGAGAGGGUGAUCGGCCACAUUGGGACUGAGAUACGGCCCAGACUCCUACGGGAGGCAGCAGUAGGGAAUAUUGCACAAUGGGGGAAACCCUGAUGCAGCAACGCCACGUGUGGGAAGAAGCAUUUCGGUGUGUAAACCACUGUCAUGAGGGAAUAAGGCCCGCCUCCGGGCGGGAUUGAAUGUACCUUGGGAGGAAGCACCGGCAAACUUCGUGCCAGCAGCCGCGGUAAUACGAGGGGUGCAAGCGUUGUUCGGAAUUACUGGGCGUAAAGGGAGCGUAGGCGGAGAUUCAAGCGGAUUGUACAAUCCCGGGGCCCAACCCCGGCUCUGCAGUCCGAACUGGAUCUCUUGGAUAGUUCAGGGGCAGGC